CAGUAGCCGCGGGAAAACAGAGGGUGCGAGCGUUAAUCGGAUUUACUGGGCGUAAAGCGUGCGUAGGCGGCUUUUUAAGUCGGAUGUGAAAUCCCUGAGCUUAACUUAGGAAUUGCAUUCGAUACUGGGAAGCUAGAGUAUGGGAGAGGAUGGUAGAAUUCCAGGUGUAGCGGUGAAAUGCGUAGAGAUCUGGAGGAAUACCGAUGGCGAAGGCAGCCAUCUGGCCUAAUACUGACGCUGAGGUACGAAAGCAUGGGGAGCAAACAGGAUUAGAUACCCGGGUAGUCCCUGUCUCUUAUAC
Molecule: ribosomal RNA, 301 nt
Filed under: uncultured bacterium
Lineage: Bacteria
Description: partial 16S ribosomal RNA
Rfam family: Bacterial small subunit ribosomal RNA
Source: RNAcentral